UCCGCUAUAUCCCUGACUCCACUGAGGUC
RNAcentral lists this non-coding RNA (29 nucleotides) under Rattus norvegicus (Norway rat). Lineage: Eukaryota; Metazoa; Chordata; Mammalia; Rodentia; Muridae. The record is from RNAcentral.